AGGAUUGAGAGGAUCACUUGAAUCCUAGAGACACCAGGACACUCUAGCCUGGGCAACAGAGUGAGACUCUGUGUCAAAAAAAGUUUGUGUUAGAGAUAACAAGCCAAGGCCCGGAAAUACUCAUUUCUGCUGGAGUUGGAAUGUCUGACUUCUGCUUUGCAAACAAUUUCAGCAUUUUUCACAUCCUAAAGAAAGCCCCGUGUUUUUCAUGCCAUUGAUCUGUAGCUGUCUCCACAAAAGGACCUGCGUGCCUGCGGUGGCCCUGGGAAUUUUAAAUAAGAAGUCAAUGAGAGAUGCUGCAAAACAGGCUGAAACCUUGUUCUCUGAAUCCAAAGGAAGAGAUGUUUCCCACACCACAAGCAAGAAAGCUAUAAAAGCCUCAGGGAAGAAAAUCAGAAGAGUCAAAUGUGCCAAGCCCUUCCUGUGCCGUGCAGAUGCGAGCUGAAGACAAGAGUCCAAUCACAAGACAGGAUCUAUCAGCAUCCUCUGACGCAAAAGAUACCGAGUGAAAGGCAAAGAUGGGUAUCUGCUCCAGGGCAGUGCUUCUCAGAUAAUAAAAUGCAUAAGGAUGGUCUGGAAACACAGUAAAAUGAAGAUUCACAUGCAGUCAGUUUAGGACAAAAAGCAAGAUUUCAUUUCUCGUUAAUCCCCACUGAGUGCUGAUGUUGCUUUUCCGCAGAUCGUACUUUGAGAAGCAACAGUCAAAGUGAGAAAGCGUAAAUGAAGGGCUGUGGAAAUGCUAAGACAGAGCUGAUUCUUUCUAGUUGAUAGGUUUAGGUAAGUUCCACAGAGAAGACCCCAUAGCUAGACAGGGAGAGGAACAGAGGUAACAGGUGUGUUGGUGUCUGUGUGGGUCAGUGAGGAUCAGAAGUAACACACAGAGAGAGCUGGGACUGCAGAGGAAACGAGGGGAAAAAAAGAAGAAGAAGAAUUCCAAAAAGGGAAUAACUGAGUACAGUCCUUAAAGCAGAAAAGUACCUGAGAUGUUUACAGGAAAACAAAACAUCUGAUAAGACCAGCGUAUAAUCUACAGAGAAAAUACUAGAAAUGCAUACCAGGAAGAAACCGUGCUGAUCUGAUGUGCAUCUCACCAUAUUGUGGGGGGAGAGAUUAUAAGAUCUGCAAUAAGAUAGGCAAAUUCCAACUUCUGAGAUGAAUUGUGCAGAAUAAAGGGCCUGUAAUUUAGAUCUGGUCCAAAGUUAUUAAUAUUCCACAUUUUGAUAUUUAUUACUAAGUACUCAUUAUUAUUCUCCAACAUAGUUGCCUGUCUGCAAAUGAAACGUCUCCUCAAACAAAAAAACCUUUCUUCAAAUGAGACUAUGGAAGACCAGAACAAAAUAUGGCCUGUCCUUAGCUCAGUAACCUAAACUCAAGCAGUGGCUCUGGAAAAUUACAAAUCAUUUGUAUUUAAGGUCUAAGGCUGAUAAUUUCCAGAAAUGUUUUCUCAUGUGAUAUUCUGGAAAAGGGAACCAAAUGAGGCUCUAAGAAUGCAUAGGUUUUCUGCACAGCUGCCUAUAGAUCCAAGUCAAUGCAAGGUGGCAGAGAUCAGAGAGAACCCCCAGGAUGCCCAGGAAACUCGAGCAAAUUGCCAUAUCCUAAUGGGCAAGUUCACUGCCUACUCACCAACAUUAUUAAUAAUAAAACAAAAGACGAGAAAAGGUAUCUAAAGUAAAGGUAUCUAACAAAUUCUCUCUCAGGGCUUCUUUUUCUGUAUCUGUCUAAAUCAGCAGAAACUUUAAAUACAGCAUGCUGGCUCUUUGGGAUAGGUUGUGAAUCUCACUUAGCAAGAGGUUCCAGGUUAAUUCCUUAAAUGUGUAAAAACCUAAAAAUUCUAAAAAUAAUAAAAAUCACCCACAGAUACAUAAAUGGAUACAUAUGUGAUAAAGCAAUUACUUCCAUAGUGUUAAAAGUAGAAUCUAUGUGGUUUUUGUUAUACAGAUAUCCACUGUAAUGGUUUCAACUUCACUGUAUGUUUUUAAAUUUUCAUAAUAUUGUUAGGGGAAAACUGCCUGUGAUCCGCUUUUUAAAACUAUUUGAGGUAAGAAGUGAAAAAGUCCCCUUCUCCUCUCCUUUCAGCAUUCACCCAGUCCCACUCCUAACAUAAUCACACAUAAAUAUUAGAUGCAGAUUUUUUCCAUUUUUUUCUAUUGAACUUUUUAAUUUUUCUUUUUACAAAAAUUGAACCACAUGUGUAGCUAAAAGUUUCUUCUUUUAUUGAGCAAUACAUCAUUCACAUUUUUUCCAGAUUACUUCAUGUAAUUAUACUUUUUCCUUUUUUAAAUGUUUAAAUUUUUAAUUCUCAUGGGGACAUUACAGUUGUAUAUAUUUAUUACUGCCUAGCUAUAUCAAAGCAUAUAUAACCAUGUCCUUAUUGCUAGGAUUUUAUUACUUUCGAAAAUAUGUCUUCUUAAAGGUUGUAUUAGUUUGCAACCCCACCAGCAGUGUAGAAGUGUUCCCUCUUCUCCAUAUCCAUGCCAACAU
Molecule: long non-coding RNA, 2481 nt
Organism: Nycticebus coucang (slow loris)
Lineage: Eukaryota; Metazoa; Chordata; Mammalia; Primates; Lorisidae
Exons: 3
Source: RefSeq, a predicted model, not a curated record